CAUUGGCUUUGGGCUCUAGCUUGUUUUCAGGAUAGAAGGGGUACUCCAGUCUAGUCUGAAUAGUCUUGCCUUCUUAUCCUGUUGAUUUUUUUUUUACAGAUCAUAUACAUCCACUUAAGAUCACUGUUCAGUUAAGCUGGGGAACUAAACUGGAAGAGGAUGGAUGCUGUAACGGGGUAUGAAGUUGACGAACAUGGGAUCACUCCUGUGAAUCACAGUCAUUGUCUUGAGUGGGCUGACAUUUUAGAAGAUGACGGAGAAGAUAAAGAGGAUAUGCAUAGUAAGUCAUGUUUUCAGGGCAAUGAAAAUGGAACAUACAUGAAGCUACAAAAUGAACUAUCUGCCCUGACUUCUCACUUUCGGCGGGAGAUUCUUGAACAGUACAAAUUGACAUUUAGGCACAAUAUAAGUUUCCAGUUUUCAACGUGA
RNAcentral lists this long non-coding RNA (429 nucleotides) under Calidris pugnax (ruff). RNAcentral's name for it is "lncRNA (ENSCPUG00000003396.1)". The record is from RNAcentral. Lineage: Eukaryota; Metazoa; Chordata; Aves; Charadriiformes; Scolopacidae.